UACGGGAGGCAGCAGUGGGGAAUAUUGCACAAUGGGUGCAAGCCUGAUGCAGCCAUGCCGCGUGUAUGAAGAAGGCCUUCGGGUUGUAAAGUACUUUCAGUCGUGAGGAAGGUGUUAAGGUUAAUAACCUUAGCAAUUGACGUUAGCGACAGAAGAAGCACCGGCUAACUCCGUGCCAGCAGCCGCGGUAAUACGGAGGGUGCGAGCGUUAAUCGGAAUUACUGGGCGUAAAGGGCACGCAGGCGGUUAAUUAAGUUGGAUGUGAAAUCCCCGGGCUUAACCUGGGAAUGGCAUUCAAGACUGGUUAGCUAGAGUCUUGUAGAGGGGGUAGAAUUCCAUGUGUAGCGGUGAAAUGCGUAGAGAUGUGGAGGAAUACCGGUGGCGAAGGCGGCCCCUGGACAAAGGCUGACGCUCAUGUGCGAAAGCGUGGGGAGCAAACAGGGAUUAGAUACC
Molecule: ribosomal RNA, 453 nt
Filed under: uncultured bacterium
Lineage: Bacteria
Description: bacterial SSU rRNA
Rfam family: Bacterial small subunit ribosomal RNA
Source: RNAcentral